UAUAUAUAUGAAAAAAGUUUAUAUAGAGUUGAGGCUCUAAACAAUGAAAUUAGAGCGCACAUCAAAUAUUUCACUAGAAGAUGUUGUUUUGAUAGCCAAAUAUACUCAAAUUGAUUAUCUCGACAUCAGAUACAUAGACAUGAGAAAAAAAUGGAUUUCAAGUUUUGAAAAUAGCUCGUCUUGUAAUGCAUUUUUGGACCGUCAAUUUUCAAGUUUUCAUAGAUCUGCUCGAUUUAUAUCCUUUUUUAAGCUUUAAAUUUUAUAAUUAAAGAUGAAAACAUAUUUUAAAGACAAAAAUUUCCAAUAUUGAAACCGCCAUUCUGGACAUUAUUUAAAUGUUCGCUCUACUCUCACUGAGGCCUUUCAAUGGAUGUGGUUUUUGUCCUAGGCCUUGGAAGAUGCUAAACCCUAGAGAAUGUGAAGUUUGAUGGGGGAAGUUGAGUGCUUUAGGAGAGGCGGAAUUUUUAUGGGAGAGGAACUUGGUGUAUGCAAACCCUAGUCAAGGUGAGGCUUUCUCACUUGCAUGAUGCUGAAAGUUUUGCC
RNAcentral lists this long non-coding RNA (543 nucleotides) under Amborella trichopoda. RNAcentral's name for it is "long non-coding RNA (ATRI_LNC003230)". The record is from RNAcentral. Lineage: Eukaryota; Viridiplantae; Streptophyta; Magnoliopsida; Amborellales; Amborellaceae.